GAUGAACGCUGGCGGCGUGCCUAAUACAUGCCAGUCGAGCGAACGGACGAGAAGCUUGCUUCUCUGAUGUUAGCGGCGGACGGGUGAGUAACACGUGGAUAACCUACCUAUAAGACUGGGGUAACUUCGGGAAACCGGAGCUAAUACCGGAUGAUAUUUUGAACCGCAUGGUUCAAAAGUGAAAGACGGUCUUGCUGUCACUUAUAGAUGGAUCCGCGCUGCAUUAGCUAGUUGGUAAGGUAACGGCUUACCAAGGCAACGAUGCAUAGCCGACCUGAGAGGGUGAUCGGCCACACUGGAACUGAGACACGGUCCAGACUCCUACGGGAGGCAGCAGUAGGGAAUCUUCCGCAAUGGGCGAAAGCCUGACGGAGCAACGCCGCGUGAGUGAUGAAGGUCUUCGGAUCGUAAAACUCUGUUAUUAGGGAAGAACAUAUGUGUAAGUAACUGUGCACAUCUUGACGGUACCUAAUCAGAAAGCCACGGCUAACUACGUG
Molecule: ribosomal RNA, 497 nt
Filed under: uncultured bacterium
Lineage: Bacteria
Description: partial 16S ribosomal RNA
Rfam family: Bacterial small subunit ribosomal RNA
Source: RNAcentral